AAGACGCCACUCAGAAUGGAUUAGGACUCACUCUGCUCCGAUAUGACUGCAUGUUAACUUAGCUGAUAACAUCUUUGAAGAUCCUAUUUCCAAACAAGGUCACGUUCUCAGCUGAACUGGAAGGCAAUUCCAAAGGAUGAAGUCCAAAAAUACUUGAGCAAUGGAAGAUUUGUUAAAAACAAGUAUACAGCCUCCCAAGUAAAGAGUCAUAGAUCUCAGACUCAGUCUUCAGCGAGCAAAAUUUCCAGAUGGAAUUUAGUAACCUCAUUUUGUUCUACUUGGGCACUGGUUGAAGGGAUAAUUUCCUAUCUGCAGAAGAGGAUCCUGAGUCCGAGAUGUCAGUGAGACACCAUCCGAGCUUCAGGAGGAAUCCUGGGCAGACACUGUAUUGCUUGGAAUCACCUCUCAGGUCAUCUACCUGCAUUGGAAUCCUUGUCUCAGCGUCUGCUUCUAGGAGAACCCACACUAAGACCACCUGCCACAGGUGUAUUUUAGAGGAAGAAUCUUGCUACCUGCGUUAGCACCCUGGCUGAUCUCAUCUAAGGUGGGAA
Trichechus manatus latirostris (Florida manatee) is the source of this 551-nucleotide long non-coding RNA. RefSeq lists it as uncharacterized. The record is from RefSeq and is a predicted model, not a curated record. Lineage: Eukaryota; Metazoa; Chordata; Mammalia; Sirenia; Trichechidae. The transcript has 5 exons.